This is a long non-coding RNA of Oncorhynchus keta (chum salmon), 1225 nucleotides long. RefSeq lists it as uncharacterized. The transcript has 4 exons. The record is from RefSeq and is a predicted model, not a curated record. NCBI's taxonomy places the organism in Eukaryota, Metazoa, Chordata, Actinopteri, Salmoniformes, Salmonidae.
ACUGUACCUCACCCCUUCAUGGGCGGUAGACUGUAACACGUUACACUGUACCUCACCCCUUCAUGGGAGGUAGACUGUAACACGUUACACUGUACCUCACCCCUUCAUGGGAGGUAGACUGUAACACGUUACACUGUACCUCACCCCUUCAUGGGAGGUAGACUGUAACACGUUACACUGUACCUCAACCCUUCAUGGGAGGUAGACUGUAACACGUUACACUGUACCUCAACCCUUCAUGGACGGUACGCUGUACCUCAGAUAACCCUUCAUGGACGGUACGCUGUACCUCAGAUAACCCUUCAUGGACGGUACGCUGUACCUCAGAUAACCCUUCAUGGACGGUACGCUGUACCUCAGAUAACCCUUCAUGGACGGUACGCUGUACCUCAGAUAACCCUUCAUGGAUGGUACGCUGUACCUCAGAUAACCCUUCAUGGAUGGUAGACUGUAACAAGGCUCAUUCUGAGCAGGGGUGAAGGAAGCAAAGUGAAGCCUGUAUGUCUGUUUAGUUCAUUUUAUUUUCUGGGGUGAAGGACAAUAGUUGGAGCCCUGAAUGAACUGACAUAAGUGUAACUGUCUUGGUUAUUUAGGAAAGUUCAUGAAUGUUUCAUUUGACCUAAUGGUAACUCACAAAAGGCCUACAAGUUUAAGAGAUUACAUGUUACCGUAAGAAACCCAAUGCGGGUGGUAACUGUAAAAAGUCUAUACUUUACCCCAGAAUACCCAUUACAAGCGGUCCUAUAGAAACAUGGGAGCCUUAUUCACGUCAGGGAAAUUUAGCAAAAAAUAUCAGCCUAUUUGCAACGCACCUUAUUAUUGUAUUUUUGUUUUCGUGGUUUGCACAUGAUUAUGAAAGUGUAUGUAAUUCUGUCCUUGUGAUGCACUUGUCUAUUAAUGUUCUGUAUCUUUUGUUUGGACCCCAGGAAGAGUAGCUGCUGCUUUAGUAGUAGCUAAUGAGGAUCCGAAUAAAAUACCCCGAAAAGUACUACUGUAAUCACAUGGAAAAAACAAUGUUUAGCAGACCACUAGUUUGCAUCAAGCCUGUCUUGAGAAUUUUGGUCAUACUUUAGGUUUUCAUUGACAUCACAGUGAAUAUCCUCAUUGGGCAUACUUUAGGUAUUCAUUAACAUUACAGUAAAUGUCCCCAUUGGUCAUACUUUAGCUUCUCAUUGACAUCACAGUAAAUGUCCCCAUUGGUCAUACUUUAGCUUCUUAUUGACAU